GCUCCAUGUGUGUUCUGUAAUCGGAGGACUCCCUUAUGAUGAAACCUUCACAUGUCCGACCUCCUGAAUGGUGCCGGAGCCUGAAAAGGUGAACCCACUGGUAUCAUCAGGAGGAGAGGAUGGAGGCCAUGUUCCAGCAGGAACGGUCUGACAAGGGUACAUUGGAUCUGGACGGACUCUAGCAGGAUUACUGGAGAACAGGAGUCUGCAGCCCUACACACCAGGAUACGAGGAGCAGAGGAUGAAGUGGAUUUAUUGAAGCUCUGAAGGUUUACAUAUCAGAAACUCACUGGUAAGUUUCAAUUACUGGCUCCUGAGCUUUAGAUCUAUACAGUAUACUAGAAAAGAUACUUUCCAAGACCUGUGCUUCGUAUGCCAGUCUUAAACCUGAUGUAAAUUUUAGCUGCAACUAAUGCCUGUUCCGCAAGCAUGUCUUGGGGUGCUUUACCAGUUUUCAGCCUAUGGCUGCCAGAGCCGGCUGGGGGAGGGGAAAACCGUGCACUCCUGGACCAGCGCUGAAAUCCAAUGACUUU
Long non-coding RNA from Hyla sarda, 533 nucleotides. RefSeq lists it as uncharacterized. The record is from RefSeq and is a predicted model, not a curated record. Lineage: Eukaryota; Metazoa; Chordata; Amphibia; Anura; Hylidae. The transcript has 4 exons.